RNAcentral lists this ribosomal RNA (497 nucleotides) under uncultured bacterium. Its description in RNAcentral is "partial 16S ribosomal RNA". It matches the Rfam family "Bacterial small subunit ribosomal RNA", at positions 28 to 507 of the family's 1533-position model. The record is from RNAcentral.
GAUGAACGCUGGCGGCGUGCCUAAUACAUGCAAGUCGAGCGAACGGACGAGAAGCUUGCUUCUCUGAUGUUAGCGGCGGACGGGUGGGUAACACGUGGAUAACCUACCUAUAAGACUGGGAUAACUUCGGGAAACCGGAGCUAAUACCGGAUAAUAUUUUGAACCGCAUGGUUCAAAAGUGAAAGACGGUCUUGCUGUCACUUAUAGAUGGAUCCGCGCUGCAUUAGCUAGUUGGUAAGGUAACGGCUUACCAAGGCAACGAUGCAUAGCCGACCUGAGAGGGUGAUCGGCCACACUGGAACUGAGACACGGUCCAGACUCCUACGGGAGGCAGCAGUAGGGAAUCUUCCGCAAUGGGCGAAAGCCUGACGGAGCAACGCCGCGUGAGUGAUGAAGGUCUUCGGAUCGUAAAACUCUGUUAUUAGGGAAGAACAUAUGUGUAAGUAACUGUGCACAUCUUGACGGUACCUGAUCAGAAAGCCACGGCUAACUACGUG